This 205-nucleotide non-coding RNA is filed under the name Phenylobacterium sp. The record is from RNAcentral. Lineage: Bacteria; Pseudomonadati; Pseudomonadota; Alphaproteobacteria; Caulobacterales; Caulobacteraceae.
AACCCCGAUCCUGCGUCAGGUUCCUCGAAAGAGGAUGAAAAGGGAACGGGGUAUCUCAGGCCCCGGCUGUCCCCGCAACUGUAGGCGGUGAGCCCGCGCGUCAAAGGUCACUGGACUGCCGGCCUCGUUCGGCCAGGUCCGGGAAGGCGACGCGCACCGGCGACGAUCCGCGAGCCAGGAGACCUGCCCGGCGUCGUCGUUCUUC